This 206-nucleotide ribosomal RNA is filed under the name uncultured bacterium. RNAcentral's name for it is "partial 16S ribosomal RNA". It matches the Rfam family "Bacterial small subunit ribosomal RNA", at positions 568 to 773 of the family's 1533-position model. The record is from RNAcentral.
CUCGUAGGCGGCCAACUAAGUCAUACGUGAAAUCCCUCAGCUUAACUGGGGAACUGCGUGUGAUACUGGAUGGCUUGGAUUUGGGAGAGGGAUGCGGAAUUCCAGGUGUAGCGGUGAAAUGCGUAGAUAUCUGGAGGAACACCGGUGGCGAAGGCGGCAUCCUGGACCAAUAUUGACGCUGAGGAGCGAAAGCUAGGGGAGCAACG